RNAcentral lists this long non-coding RNA (416 nucleotides) under Mus musculus (house mouse). RNAcentral's name for it is "long non-coding RNA chr4:44382921-44383337". The record is from RNAcentral. Lineage: Eukaryota; Metazoa; Chordata; Mammalia; Rodentia; Muridae.
AUGGGCAAAGGAGACCCUAAGAAGCGGAAGCGGAGAGGCAAAAUGUCCUCAUAUGCAUCUUCGUGCAAACCUUCUGGGUGGAGCAUAAGAAAGAGCACUCGGAUGCAUUUGCCAGCACCUUGGCCUUAAGACUUGCAUCAGAGAGAUGGGACUACAUCUGCUGCUAAAGAAAAGAGGAGAUCUGAAGGCGUGGCAAAGGUUAUCAUGAAAAUCUACAUCUCCCUGAAAUGGGGCACCAAAAAGAAGUUUAAGGACCCCAGUGCACCGAAGAGGCCUCCUCCUGCCUUCUUGUUGUGUUCUGAGUACCGCCCCCAACCUGCUGAUCUUGUGAAGAAGCUAGGAGAGAUGUGGAACAGGUAUGGCUGCAGGUGACAAGUGACAAGCAGCCCUGGGAGGAGAAGGCUAUGGAGCUGAGG